ACGGGUGAGUAAUACAUCGGAACGUGCCCAAUCGUGGGGGAUAACGCAGCGAAAGCUGUGCUAAUACCGCAUACGAUCUACGGAUGAAAGCAGGGGAUCGCAAGACCUUGCACGAAUGGAGCGGCCGAUGGCAGAUUAGGUAGUUGGUGAGGUAAAGGCUCACCAAGCCUUCGAUCUGUAGCUGGUCUGAGAGGACGACCAGCCACACUGGGACUGAGACACGGCCCAGACUCCUACGGGAGGCAGCAGUGGGGAAUUUUGGACAAUGGGCGAAAGCCUGAUCCAGCCAUGCCGUGUGCAGGAUGAAGGCCUUCGGGUUGUAAACUGCUUUUGUACGGAACGAAACGGUCUUUUCUAAUAAAGAAGGCUAAUGACGGUACCGUAAGAAUAAGCACCGGCUAACUACGUGCCAGCAGCCGCGGUAAUACGUAGGGUGCAAGCGUUAAUCGGAAUUACUGGGCGUAAAGCGUGCGCAGGCGGUGAUGUAAGACAGUUGUGAAAUCCCCGGGCUCAACCUGGGAACUGCAUCUGUGACUGCAUCGCUGGAGUACGGCAGAGGGGGAUGGAAUUCCGCGUGUAGCAGUG
RNAcentral lists this ribosomal RNA (585 nucleotides) under uncultured Variovorax sp. RNAcentral's name for it is "bacterial SSU rRNA". It matches the Rfam family "Bacterial small subunit ribosomal RNA", at positions 102 to 683 of the family's 1533-position model. The record is from RNAcentral. Lineage: Bacteria; Pseudomonadati; Pseudomonadota; Betaproteobacteria; Burkholderiales; Comamonadaceae.